GAUGAAGAACGCAGCGAAAUGCGAUAAGUAAUGUGAAUUGCAGAAUUCAGUGAAUCAUCGAAUCUUUGAACGCACAUUGCGCCCCUUGGUAUUCCGGGGGGCAUGCCUGUUCGAGCGUCAUUUCAACCCUCAAGCUUCUGCUUGGUCUUGGGCCGUGCCGGCAACGGCUGGCCUUAAAACUAGUGGCGGUGCCAUCGAGCUCUACGCGUAGUAAUUCUAUCUCGCGUCUGGGCUUCGGUGGACGCUGGCCAGCAACCCCCAAUUUUCUAUGGUUGACCUCGGAUCAGGUAGGGAUACCCGCUGAACUUAAGCAUAUCAAUAGCGGAGGA
RNAcentral lists this unclassified non-coding RNA (329 nucleotides) under soil metagenome. Its description in RNAcentral is "partial contains 5.8S ribosomal RNA, internal transcribed spacer 2, and large subunit ribosomal RNA". The stretch from base 1 to 120 matches the Rfam family "5.8S ribosomal RNA", at positions 35 to 154 of the family's 154-position model. The record is from RNAcentral.